GUUACAGCCGCCGCGGUAAGACGAACCGUGCGAACGUUGUUCGGAAUCACUGGGCUUAAAGGGCGCGUAGGCGGGUGACCAAGUCCGGGGUGAAAUCUCUCGGCUUAACCGGAAAAGUGCCUUGGAUACUGGUCGUCUUGAGGGAGGUAGGGGCAGGUGGAACUUCCGGUGGAGCGGUGAAAUGCGUUGAUAUCGGAAGGAACGCCGGUGGCGAAAGCGGCCUGCUGGAUCUCUUCUGACGCUGAGGCGCGAAAGCUAGGGGAGCAAACGGGAUUAGAUACCCCGGUAGUCC
Molecule: ribosomal RNA, 292 nt
Filed under: uncultured bacterium
Lineage: Bacteria
Description: partial 16S ribosomal RNA
Rfam family: Bacterial small subunit ribosomal RNA
Source: RNAcentral